Molecule: ribosomal RNA, 42 nt
Filed under: Pratylenchus penetrans
Lineage: Eukaryota; Metazoa; Nematoda; Chromadorea; Rhabditida; Pratylenchidae
Description: partial 18S ribosomal RNA
Source: RNAcentral
CGUAACAAGGUAGCUAUAGGUGAACCUGCUGCUGGAUCAUUA